Molecule: long non-coding RNA, 89 nt
Organism: Etheostoma spectabile (orangethroat darter)
Lineage: Eukaryota; Metazoa; Chordata; Actinopteri; Perciformes; Percidae
Exons: 3
Source: RefSeq, a predicted model, not a curated record
CUGCGGCAGGGAUGCACGGCCAAAAGGAUAAAAACGAGAAACACAGCUACUUUUUUAACAUUAUCAAAGACUUGGAUAGCAACAGGUGU